RNAcentral lists this ribosomal RNA (264 nucleotides) under uncultured bacterium. RNAcentral describes it as "partial 16S ribosomal RNA". It matches the Rfam family "Bacterial small subunit ribosomal RNA", at positions 91 to 354 of the family's 1533-position model. The record is from RNAcentral.
CGGACCGGCGCACGGGUGAGUAACGCGUAUGCAACUUACCUAUCAGAGGGGGAUAACCCGGCGAAAGUCGGACUAAUACCGCAUGAAGCAGGGGCCCCGCAUGGGGAUAUUUGCUAAAGAUUCAUCGCUGAUAGAUAGGCAUGCGUUCCAUUAGGCAGUUGGCGGGGUAACGGCCCACCAAACCGACGAUGGAUAGAGGUUCUGAGAGGAAGGUCCCCCACAUUGGUACUGAGACACGGACCAAACUCCUACGGGAGGCAGCAG